Molecule: transfer RNA, 77 nt
Filed under: Desulfobacter hydrogenophilus
Lineage: Bacteria; Pseudomonadati; Thermodesulfobacteriota; Desulfobacteria; Desulfobacterales; Desulfobacteraceae
Also listed under: 18 other names
Description: tRNA-Met
Rfam family: tRNA
About the family: Transfer RNA (tRNA) molecules are approximately 80 nucleotides in length. Their secondary structure includes four short double-helical elements and three loops (D, anti-codon, and T loops).
Source: RNAcentral
UGCGGGGUGGAGCAGUCUGGUAGCUCGUCGGGCUCAUAACCCGAAGGUCGUUGGUUCAAAUCCUUCCCCCGCUACCA